UUUUUUUUUUUUGUAUACAUGGAAAUGAAAUCAGAUCUCUCAACUUUUGGCUACGUUCUUUUCAAAAACAGAAAACAAAAACAGAUUUUAGGUGAUUGGCAGUGCUUGGAUUUCCUACAAGUCCAGAAAAAACGUCCUCCAGUUAUCUUGUUAUAUAAGUUCGGACCAUGUUUUGAAAUCAUGUCAUGAACACGUUUGGAAUUCAGCGAUUUCAAGCAAAAGCACUAGGGUUCCAAGACACCAUACACCAACAGACCAAACAUGAAUUACACGAUCCCUUCAUGAAAUUCCACGGAAUUCAAACGGUAAACCUUACAGCGGGGGAGUUCAGACAGCAGGCAGCAGCCGGUUCGACGUUCAACACAGUACCAGUAUAAGUUUCAGGCUCAUGCUUUUAUUCUGUCCGACCCGGACGACACUCGGUGCGACAUCAUCAUAAUGUUCUCGAUCCCAUACCGAACUGUUACAGGCAUCAACAGCCAUGGAAUGGCAUAGCGCGGUGGAUAACGGCAUGUCUGCGACACUUCAGUUCAAAAUUCAGCAGGCGUUACACGACGUCCAGAAUACUUAUUACUACUGCAACGAGACGGCAUGGGCGCAGCAAAUGGCAGAGUUCCGUUCAAAAAAGGCCAUGGGAG
This 638-nucleotide long non-coding RNA is filed under the name Triticum aestivum (bread wheat). RNAcentral describes it as "long non-coding RNA (TAES_LNC010923)". The record is from RNAcentral. Lineage: Eukaryota; Viridiplantae; Streptophyta; Magnoliopsida; Poales; Poaceae.